CCUACGGGCGGCAGCAGUGGGGAAUAUUGCACAAUGGGCGCAAGCCUGAUGCAGCCAUGCCGCGUGUGUGAAGAAGGCCUUCGGGUUGUAAAGCACUUUCAGCGGGGAGGAAGGCGGUGAGGUUAAUAACCUCAUCGAUUGACGUUACCCGCAGAAGAAGCACCGGCUAACUCCGUGCCAGCAGCCGCGGUAAUACGGAGGGUGCAAGCGUUAAUCGGAAUUACUGGGCGUAAAGCGCACGCAGGCGGUCUGUCAAGUCGGAUGUGAAAUCCCCGGGCUCAACCUGGGAACUGCAUUCGAAACUGGCAGGCUAGAGUCUUGUAGAGGGGGGUAGAAUUCCAGGUGUAGCGGUGAAAUGCGUAGAGAUCUGGAGGAAUACCGGUGGCGAAGGCGGCCCCCUAGACAAAGACUGACGCUCAGGUGCGAAAGCGUGGGGAGCAAACAGGAUUAGAUACCCCAGUAGUC
This 465-nucleotide ribosomal RNA is filed under the name uncultured Klebsiella sp. RNAcentral describes it as "bacterial SSU rRNA". It matches the Rfam family "Bacterial small subunit ribosomal RNA", at positions 338 to 795 of the family's 1533-position model. Lineage: Bacteria; Pseudomonadati; Pseudomonadota; Gammaproteobacteria; Enterobacterales; Enterobacteriaceae. The record is from RNAcentral.